GACGAACCGUGCGAACGUUGUUCGGAUUCAUUGGGCGUAAAGCGCACGUAGGCGGCUUUCUAAGUCGGGGGUGAAAUCCUGGAGCUCAACUCCAGAACUGCCUUCGAUACUGGAGAGCUCGAGUCCGGGAGAGGUGAGUGGAACUGCGAGUGUAGAGGUGAAAUUCGUAGAUAUUCGCAAGAACACCAGUGGCGAAGGCGGCUCACUGGCCCGGUACUGACGCUGAGGUGCGAAAGCGUGGGGAGCAGACAGG
RNAcentral lists this ribosomal RNA (253 nucleotides) under uncultured bacterium. RNAcentral's name for it is "partial 16S ribosomal RNA". It matches the Rfam family "Bacterial small subunit ribosomal RNA", at positions 524 to 776 of the family's 1533-position model. The record is from RNAcentral.